Non-coding RNA from Oryctolagus cuniculus (rabbit), 265 nucleotides. Lineage: Eukaryota; Metazoa; Chordata; Mammalia; Lagomorpha; Leporidae. The record is from RefSeq and is a predicted model, not a curated record.
GGGAGUGAGGAACUGGGGCUCUGGUCUGAAGAUGCUUCCUCUACUGCUGGAUUCCCCAGUGGCCAGUGCCAUCACCUCUGUGUUUCUGCACAGCUCUGGUGAUCUAAAGCCACAUUCAGAAUUCCACCCACCUCAGAUGCUGAGAAAUGACCCCCGAAACUUGUAUCAUUAAUAUUGGAGAUGUGAAUGACAACAUGCCAACACUUACUCAUUCUUCUGUAAGUAUAUGGAUAAUAGAAAUAUGUAUAAUCCUUUGUUAAUUAUU